Molecule: ribosomal RNA, 1216 nt
Filed under: Sulfobacillus thermosulfidooxidans
Lineage: Bacteria; Bacillati; Bacillota; Clostridia; Eubacteriales; Clostridiales Family XVII. Incertae Sedis
Description: bacterial SSU rRNA
Rfam family: Bacterial small subunit ribosomal RNA
Source: RNAcentral
UUCGGGUCAGCGGCGGACGGGUGAGGAACACGUGAGUGAUCGGGCUGUGAGUGGGGGAUAUCGGGCCGAAAGGCGCGGCAAUCCCGCAUACGUUCCGGGAAACCGGAAGAAAGCUUGGCAACAGGCGCUCACAGGGGAGCUCGCGGCCCAUUAGCUAGUUGGGGGGGUAAUGGCCUCCCAAGGCGACGAUGGGUAGCCGGCCUGAGAGGGUGAACGGCCACACUGGGACUGAGACACGGCCCAGACUCCUACGGGAGGCAGCAGUAGGGAAUCUUCCACAAUGGGCGCAAGCCUGAUGGAGCAACGCCGCGUGAGUGAAGACGGCCUUCGGGUUGUAAAGCUCUGUCUGUCGGGACGAAGACCGGCCCGGAAGGGCCGGGGAGCCGGUACCGACGGAGGAAGCCCCUGCAAACUACGUGCCAGCAGCCGCGGUAAGACGUAGGGGGCAAGCGUUGUCCGGAAUUACUGGGCGUAAAGGGCGUGUAGGCGGUGCGAUACGUAGCGGUUUUAAGCCUCCGGCUCACCCGGAGGAGGGCGGCUAAACGGUCGCGCUAGAGGGCAGGAGAGGUGCGUGGAAUUCCUGGUGGAGCGGUGAAAUGCGUAGAGAUCAGGAAGAACACCCGUGGCGAAGGCGGCGCACUGGCCUGGCCCUGACGCUGAGGCGCGACAGCGUGGGGAGCGAACGGGAUUAGAUACCCCGGUAGUCCACGCCGUAAACGAUGGGUACUAGGUGUCGCCCGGGUCCACCGGGCGGUGCCGGAGCUAACGCACUAAGUACCCCGCCUGGGGAGUACGGCCGCAAGGUUGAAACUCAAAGGAAUUGACGGGGGCCCGCACAAGCAGUGGAGCAUGUGGUUUAAUUCGACGCAACGCGCAGAACCUUACCAGGACUGGACACGCUCGUGAGCGCCGCGAAAGCGGCGGGCCCUUCGGGGAGCGAGCGCAGGUGCUGCAUGGUUGUCGUCAGCUCGUGUCGUGAGAUGUUGGGUUAAGUCCCGCAACGAGCGCAACCCUUGUCGUGUGUUGCCAGCGGUUCGGCCGGGCACUCACACGAGACUGCCGGUGACAAACCGGAGGAAGGUGGGGAUGACGUCAAAUCCGCAUGGCCUUGAUGUUCUGGGCUACACACGUGCUACAAUGGUCCCGACAACGGGAUGCGACGGCGCGAGCCGGAGCCAAUCCUUCAAACGGGAUCUCAGUUCGGAUUGCAGGCUGC